GAGGGUAUAGCUCAGUGGUAGAGUAUAUGCUUAGCAUACAUGGGGUGCUAGUCCUGGGUUCAAUCCCCAGAACCUCCU
This 78-nucleotide transfer RNA is filed under the name Camelus bactrianus (Bactrian camel). It matches the Rfam family "tRNA". Rfam says of the family: Transfer RNA (tRNA) molecules are approximately 80 nucleotides in length. Their secondary structure includes four short double-helical elements and three loops (D, anti-codon, and T loops). RNAcentral also lists the same sequence under 2 other names. The record is from Rfam by way of RNAcentral. Lineage: Eukaryota; Metazoa; Chordata; Mammalia; Artiodactyla; Camelidae.